This 741-nucleotide ribosomal RNA is filed under the name Triticum aestivum (bread wheat). RNAcentral's name for it is "partial small subunit ribosomal RNA". Lineage: Eukaryota; Viridiplantae; Streptophyta; Magnoliopsida; Poales; Poaceae. The record is from RNAcentral.
AUGAGCAUCAAGAGUGUUAUCGACCUUGUGAAAGCCAUCUUUCAUUACAAGGUGAAGUACGGCAAAGCAUGGAAGGCGAAGCAAGCCGCAUUCAAGAUGUUGUAUGGCAAUUGGGAGGAAGCAUACAACCGACUCCCUAGGUUGUUGUCAGCUAUGGCCGCCACAAACCCAGGCAUGGUUCACGUGGUUGAGCCUCAUGGGCACCAAACAUUGAUUCACAACGGGAGGACCGUUCGAGUAUUUGGCCGUGCAUUUUGGACCUUUGAGCAAUGCGUGAGGGCUUUUGAGCAUUGUCGGCCCGUCAUCGCCAUUGAUGGCACGUUCUUGACCGGACAAUACAAGGGCACUUUAUUGGUUGCAAUAGCAAGUGAUGCCAAUAAGCGGGUGUUGCCUUUGGCUUUCGCUUUGGUUGAGGUGGAGAACAAUGAUAACUGGGAGUGGUUCUUGCGUCAAUUGAGAACAAGGGUAUUACCGGCUCAAAGGGAAAUUUGUGUCAUAUCGGAUCGCCAUCCAGGAAUUCUAAAUGCGGUGGUGGUUGACAUUCCCGGACAUACAAAGUUGCACCAUCGAUGGUGCAUGAGGCACUUUUGUGCAAACUUCUAUAGGGCAUGUGGUAUCAAGGAGUUGGUCGCGACUGGACCCGGGCUGCCACGUUGGCAGGAUGUACAACGCCUAAGGGAAGGGCGCUGCAACGUUGGGUGCGGCGCCUUGCUGUCGGGCGCCACACGAAAGGGUCUGUGA